Molecule: ribosomal RNA, 458 nt
Filed under: uncultured bacterium
Lineage: Bacteria
Description: partial 16S ribosomal RNA
Rfam family: Bacterial small subunit ribosomal RNA
Source: RNAcentral
CCUACGGGGUGCAGCAGUGGGGAAUAUUGGACAAUGAGCGAGAGCCUGAACCAGCGAAGUCGCGUGCGCGAGUACUGCCCUAUGGGUUGUAAACCUCUUUUGUCGGGGAGAAAAAGCCGGACGUGUCCGGCUUUGAGAGUACCCGUAGCAAAUGCAUCGGCUAACUCUGUGCCAGCAGCCGCGGUAAUACGGAGGCUGCGAGCGGUAUCCGGAUUUAGUGGGUUUAAGGGGUGCGCAGGCGGGUUUUUAAGUCAGCGGUAAAAUCGUGGGGCUCAACCCCAUCCAGCCGUUGAUACUGGGGAUCUAGAGUGUGCGAGAGGUAUGCGGAAUGCGUGGUGUAGCGGUGAAAUGCAUAGAUAUAACGCAGAACCCCGAUUGCGAAGGCAGCAUACCGGUGCACAACUGACGCUCAGGCACGAAAGCGUGGGUAUCGAACAGGAUUAGAUACCCUUGUAGUC